RNAcentral lists this ribosomal RNA (511 nucleotides) under uncultured bacterium. RNAcentral's name for it is "bacterial SSU rRNA". It matches the Rfam family "Bacterial small subunit ribosomal RNA", at positions 15 to 518 of the family's 1533-position model. The record is from RNAcentral.
GAUCCUGGCUUAGGAUGAACGCUGGCGGCGUGCCUAAUACAUGCAAGUCGAUCGAGGGAGACUUAGCUUGCUAAGUCGAACUAGAGGCGAACGGGUGAGUAAUACAUAAGCAACCUGCCCACGAAGACUGGGAUAAUACCCUGGAAACGGGGACUAAUACCGGAUAGGUAACCGGACCGCAUGAUCUGGUUAUUAAGGUUAAAAACACUGGUGGAUGGGCUUAUGGCGCAUUAGUUAGUUGGUGAGGUAACGGCUCACCAAGACGAUGAUGCGUAGCCGGCCUGAGAGGGUGAACGGCCACAUUGGGACUGAGACACGGCCCAGACUCCUACGGGAGGCAGCAGUAGGGAAUUUUCGGCAAUGGGGGAAACCCUGACCGAGCAACGCCGCCGUGAGUGAUGACGGCCUUCGGGUUGUAAAGCUCUGUUGUAAGGGAAGAAUGGUACGGAGAGAAUCCGUAAAUGACGGUACCUUACCAGAAAGCCACGGCUAACUACGUGCCAGCCGCCGC